This 1110-nucleotide long non-coding RNA is filed under the name Oryza brachyantha (malo sina). Its description in RNAcentral is "long non-coding RNA (OBRA_LNC000367)". Lineage: Eukaryota; Viridiplantae; Streptophyta; Magnoliopsida; Poales; Poaceae. The record is from RNAcentral.
UAAUUUGUUAUUUCGUUUUUCUCAUUAGAUAAGUAGUUGUCGAACAUAGUCUUAGGGCAUGUAUAAUAGUGAGAUAAUAGCCGUUUAUAUACAUCCACGUCAAAUUAAUCAUUCUACGUGGCAUUAUUAAGAGCAUCUCCAACAGACAACCUAAAUCGGACUAAAAAAAUGCAUAUCUGGUCACUCUCCAUAGCCACUCAAAUUCGUUUUUUACUCCAACGAACUCUCCAUCCAACCUCUCUAUUUUGAGUGCAUGACACCCACAUGUCAUCCUCCUCUCUUUCUUUUCCUCUCACUCUCCCUCUUUCCUUUUCUCUUUCUUUCUCACACUCUAUCUCUCUCCCACGGGGCAACAGAGGCAGGCGGCGACGAAUCGAGGAUGGCACGGGCGACGCGCCGUUGACGAUGGCGGUGGACUGGGGGCGCGCCAGGCGCGGACGGCGCGAACAGCGACGGCGACCGGCUGGGACCGCGCCGGGCGGAGGAGGUCGGGGCAUCACGAGUCGGCGCGCGAAGGAGAUCGGCCGUCGUCGAUCGAGUCAGUGGCGGCGUCGCGCGGAGCAGGCCGAGGUGGCGUCGGCUGGGACGUCAGGCGGCGGUGUGCGGGGGUAGACUGUGGCGGCGGAGGCCGGAGCCGGCGACUGGGUUGGUGCUGCGGCUCGUUGUGUUCGUGCUCCUCCCGUGCUCCCCUGGUUGCGUGGGAGAGGAUUGGCAGUGUGGGGCUUACUACUGGUCAGUCAAAUAGAUUGGCUAAAUUUGGCUAGUGGAGGAAGGGUUUUGGCCAGCCAGAUGGCUUAGCCAUCCAGUUGAAUAGACUGUUGUAGCAUAUUUUUUGUUUAGAAUGGCUAAAAUUUAGCUUGGAGAGUGGGAUGAGACAUCUGUUAGAGAUGCUCUAACUCAAGAAAAACUUAGAAUGUGUGUAUUCAUUUAUCUCCUGUUUAGGCACGUGCUCCUAAGCUGCAUACAAUCCUUUUUAGAAAAAAUCUUCAUGCAUUGGUUAUACGUAAUAAAUAUAAAACAUAAAAAAUGAUGUAUUAAAUAUUAUAAAGAUAGCUAAGUAGAUAACCUAUUGUACAAGCUGUUUGUUUUAUUGUCUAUGUAUAACUCGUA